Molecule: non-coding RNA, 72 nt
Organism: Bos taurus (domestic cattle)
Lineage: Eukaryota; Metazoa; Chordata; Mammalia; Artiodactyla; Bovidae
Source: Rfam
UCCCUGGUAGCUCAGCCGGUAAAGAAUCUGGCUUCAAUCCAGGAGAUCCUGGUUUGAUUCCUGGGUUGGGAA